This 433-nucleotide ribosomal RNA is filed under the name uncultured bacterium. RNAcentral describes it as "partial 16S ribosomal RNA". It matches the Rfam family "Bacterial small subunit ribosomal RNA", at positions 29 to 507 of the family's 1533-position model. The record is from RNAcentral.
AACGAACGCUGGCGGCAUGCCUAACACAUGCAAGUCGAACGGAACCUUCGGGUCUGCUGGCGCACGGAUGCGUGAAGCGGGGGGUCCUGCCCUGGGGUUCGGCAUAACUCCCCGGAAGAGGUGCUGAUAACGGGUAAUGUUUUCGGACCAAAGAUUUAUCGCCUUUGGAUGGGGCCGCGUUGGUUUGGUUAGUUGGUAGGGUAAAAGCCAACCAAGGCGUGGAUCCGUAGCUGGCUAGAGAGGAGGCUCAGCGACACUGGGACUGAGACACGGCCCAGACUCGUACGAGAGGCAGCAGUGGGGAAUAUUGGACCAUGGGCGAAAGCCUGAGCCAGCGAGGCCGCGUGAGUGAUGAAGGCGUUAGGGUUGUAAAGCUCUUUUAACCGAGAUGAUAAUGACAGUACCGGGAGAAUAAGCACCGGCUAACUACGUG